This 442-nucleotide ribosomal RNA is filed under the name uncultured bacterium. RNAcentral's name for it is "partial 16S ribosomal RNA". It matches the Rfam family "Bacterial small subunit ribosomal RNA", at positions 338 to 795 of the family's 1533-position model. The record is from RNAcentral.
CCUACGGGCGGCAGCAGUAGGGAAUCUUUCACAAUGGGCGAAAGCCUGAUGGAGCAACGCCGCGUGCAGGAUGAAGGCCUUCGGGUUGUAAACUGCUUUUAUAAGCGAGAAAUAUGAUGGUAACUUAUGAAUAAGGAUCGGCUAACUACGUGCCAGCAGCCGCGGUCAUACGUAGGAUCCGAGCAUUAUCCGGAGUGACUGGGUGUAAAGAGUUGCGUAGGUGGCAUAAUAAGUAGCUAGUGAAAUCUGGUGGCUCAACCAUUCAGCCUAUUAGCUAAACUGUUAAGCUCGAGACCGUUAGGGGUAACUGGAAUUUCUAGUGUAGGAGUGAAAUCCGUAGAUAUUAGAAGGAACACCAAUAGCGUAGGCAGGUUGCUGGGACGGUUCUGACACUAAGGCACGAAAGCGUAGGGAGCAAACGGGAUUAGAUACCCGAGUAGUC